This 468-nucleotide ribosomal RNA is filed under the name uncultured bacterium. RNAcentral's name for it is "partial 16S ribosomal RNA". It matches the Rfam family "Bacterial small subunit ribosomal RNA", at positions 28 to 507 of the family's 1533-position model. The record is from RNAcentral.
GACGAACGCUGGCGGCGUGCUUAACACAUGCAAGUCGAACGGAAAGGCCCUGCUUUUGUGGGGUGCUCGAGUGGCGAACGGGUGAGUAACACGUGAGUAACCUGCCCUUGACUUUGGGAUGACUUCAGGAAACUGGGGCUAAUACCGGAUAGGAGCUCCUGCUGCAUGGUGGGGGUUGGAAAGUUUCGGCGGUUGGGGAUGGACUCGCGGCUUAUCAGCUUGUUGGUGGGGUAGUGGCUUACCAAGCCUUUGACGGGUAGCCGGCCUGAGAGGGUGACCGGCCACAUUGGGACUGAGAUACGGCCCAGACUCCUACGGGAGGCAGCAGUGGGGAAUAUUGCACAAUGGGCGGAAGCCUGAUGCAGCAACGCCGCGUGCGGGAUGACGGCCUUCGGGUUGUAAACCGCUUGCGCCUGUGACGAAGCGUGAGUGACGGUAAUGGGUAAAGAAGCACCGGCUAACUACGUG